RNAcentral lists this unclassified non-coding RNA (298 nucleotides) under uncultured fungus. RNAcentral describes it as "partial contains 5.8S ribosomal RNA, internal transcribed spacer 2, and large subunit ribosomal RNA". The stretch from base 1 to 52 matches the Rfam family "5.8S ribosomal RNA", at positions 103 to 154 of the family's 154-position model. The record is from RNAcentral. Lineage: Eukaryota; Fungi.
AACGCACAUUGCGCCCUUUGGUAUUCCGAAGGGCAUGCCUGUUCGAGCGUCAUUAUCACCCCUCAAGCCCCGGUGCUUGAUGUUGGACGGCCUCGGUCGACGCGAAUCGACCCCUCCUAAAGAUAAUGACGGUGGCCUCCGUUGGACCCCGGUACGCUGAGCCUCUUUAACUGGGCAUGUAUCGGAUUAGGGACUUCAGGCCCCGGUCGCCCUUUUCUUCGCCAUUUCGGUGGUGGGAAAAGACCCCCCUUUUUCUAAGGUUGACCUCGGAUCAGGUAGGAAUACCCGCUGAACUUAA